RNAcentral lists this ribosomal RNA (669 nucleotides) under uncultured Actinomycetes bacterium. Its description in RNAcentral is "bacterial SSU rRNA". It matches the Rfam family "Bacterial small subunit ribosomal RNA", at positions 8 to 685 of the family's 1533-position model. Lineage: Bacteria; Bacillati; Actinomycetota; Actinomycetes. The record is from RNAcentral.
AGAGUUUGAUCCUGGCUCAGGACGAACGCUGGCGGCGCGCCUAAUCCAUGCAAGUCGAGCGACGCAUUCCUUAGCCCGUAAGGGCGGGUUUGACGGAGCGGCGAACGGGUGCGUAACACGUGACCAAUCUGCCCCGAAGACCGGGAUAGCCCGGGGAAACCCGGAUUAAUACCGGAUGAUCUCACCACCACGCAUGUGGAGGUGAGCAAAGGCUCAGGCGCUUCGGGAUGAGGUCGCGGCCCAUCAGCUUGUUGGUGAGGUAACGGCUCACCAAGGCAAUUACGGGUAGCUGGUCUGAGAGGACGAUCAGCCACACUGGAACUGAGAUACGGUCCAGACUCCUACGGGAGGCAGCAGGAGGGAAUCUUGCGCAAUGGGCGAAAGCCUGACGCAGCGACGCCGCGUGGGGGAUGAAUGCCUUAGGGUUGUAAACCCCUUUCACGAGGGAAGAAACUGACGGUACCUCGAGAAGAAGCCCCGGCCAACUACGUGCCAGCAGCCGCGGUAAUACGUAGGGGGCGAGCGUUGUCCGGAUUUAUUGGGCGUAAAGGGCUCGUAGGCGGCUUGGCAAGUCGGCCGUGAAAACCCAGGGCUCAACUCUGGGACGCCGGUCGAUACUGCCAUGGCUAGGGUCCGGUANAGGGAAUGGAUUCCCGGUGUACCGGUGAA